GUAAAACUUUCUCUUCCCAGGAGAGCUUGCUAGACAUUAUUUUCAACAUUCUACUUGAUGGCACACUUGGUCAACGAUGAUGUGCUGCAUAUAACUUGUCUAUCUGUGUCCUACUUCAAGUGAUGAAGUGGAUCAGGAUAUUAAAGAACGAUUCUUAAGAGCUCUUGUAGCUUUUCUUUUAACUUUGUUUAAUGAUAAAAUGUGGAGUGCAAGUCUUAUGUUUUAUACACUAAAGUCCAACUUCAUUCUUGCACUUGCUCAACAAUUUAAGCUGCAUUGCCAUUUGACUUUUCAACAAAUAACUGACAUAUUUCAGCAUUAUCCAUUGUUCAGUGGACCAGUACCAUCAAAUGGAAAAUAGAUAACUGAAUGAACUGAUCAUUAGUGAUCCCAGUUGCAGCCAAAUCUACAACACCUACCAAAAGGCUGUUCCUUGUCUUCAGAAUCCAUUUCCAUAGCAGCACUCCCACUCCCACUAGCCUUUCCUUUUACUCAGAACAUUCCAUGAUCCCAAAGCCCCAAACCAACCAUAAUAACAUCCUUCAGAAUCUUCCCAGCAGUAGUAUAAAGUGAAGAGCUAGAGCUAGUAGGCAUAGGAACAUCAACAACAUUAUCCAUAGGAGUCACAGCCAUCUCAGAAUCAUCGUUCUCAACACACCAUCUCUAACAUGCCCAAUUGACCAACAUUUAUAGCAAACUGGUAGAAGAUUCUCAUACUCAAGUUGUGUGUAAUAAUUCUUAACACAAAAUUCAGAUUGCAGAGGUAAUUUUCAGAUCACCUUCAACACAGUAACUUGCAUAUUUACCUGGAACCUGUGAAGCCACUGUCCAACGUCGCAUGUCAGUCACACUUCAGAGAAUGAGCCCCUACAGAGCGUAUCCACAUUGGCUUUGCACUAAAUGUCAAUAUGUUCACAAUACUAAACAAAGAUUUUUUUUUUUUUUUUUUUUUUUUUUUUUUUUUUUUUUUUUUUUUUUUUUUUUUUUUUUUUUAGUGUUUUGAGGGCAUUCAGGAAUAUGCACUUCACUCUGACUUUGAACUUGAUUUUCGUCUACAGUUGCUGGAACCUCUACUUCAGUUUCAGUUUGAUCGUGCAUUUUCUCUUCAUCUCAAAUGGGGAAACCUCGGUUCAUGAUUCUUGGUGGUGGUCUUGAGUACCAGCGAGUUUCUAACAUGUUGUCAAGUUUUGAUACUCUUUUACAGCAGGAGAUGGACCAUUUAAAUUUAUGGGAGGUUGCAGCCCAUCGAAUACAUCUCUCUCCUUUUGGGAAUCAUUGAUUCGAAACACAAAACUUUCCUUGAAGAUGUGGAAACUCCUUCAACUCUGAUAGUACUCAUUCCCAGUGGCAUCUCUGUUAUAUUAGUUCCAUAAUAUCAAGAAGAUGCAGAUUAAUCAGUUUCCUCAUAUCAGCAGGCAAUUCAGUGAGGGCAGCACAACCUGACAACAAUAGUGUCUGCAAAUUGUAGAGGGUACAAAAGGUGGUUCCUCCCUCAACAUAUGAUCAAAAUCUUGGAUUCCUAGAUGCAGGUCUAUACCACCAUUUCAUUUCUUAAGUUCAAUUCAUUGAGCAACUGAAUCUGAUUGAUACUCACAAGAAAAUGCAUGACUGUAAGCAAUUCAAUCUAUGUCAGUCAUAUUAGUGCUGUAAACUGAAAUUAUGCACUAGAAAUAUAUGUCCCAAAUGUUAAUUCAAAUUUUGAAUAACAUUUUAAUGAAGUGCAAAUACAGUGAUCAACAGACUAUGAUAUUUUCAAGAAUUUUGGUGUCAUUUGUGACACACUUUUCUCUGAUAUCAUAUGAAUGUCUAAUGACGUGUAUAUGCAACUCAAAUAACCAAAUGUUUGAAUACUAAUUUCUUUGGAAACCAGAAUCAAAUUUAUUUUAAGUUUGUUUGAGUUUUUGUUUUCUGUUAAUGAAUGGAUUAAUUCAUAUGCUUGUACAACAGUCACUUUGAUGACAUGAAGUACAAUGUGCAUGAACUAUUCCAGAAAACAUUGCAGAAUGCAUAUGAAUUUGUAUUUGUGGCUACUUUGGCAGCAUACAAAAUACAAUGAAAAUAUGCAGCAUUUGAUGGGACUUCCCAUUAUUAUCAGUAAGAAGCAAUCCUGCAAUUAGUUCUGCAGAUGACAAUUAUAUAUAGAACAACUAUUAUGAAAUAAUUUGAAUAUUACAGAAUUCAUGAAGAGGAUUACUCUUUGUGUAAGUAACUUUUAGCAAAUCAGAAAAGUGAGAUACACAGUAAGAGAAUAUGUAAUUCAUGUGCAGCAAUAUCAAAAGUGUGUUCUCAGGAUCAUAUAAGCAGUAAUUUCUGAAAAUAUUCUAUUUUAUAGAUCUUCAAGAUCAUUGUUUUGUAUCAUCUUGCAGAUAAGUAUCAUAGAUAAAGCAUGAUGAUCUUAUUGAUUCUGCAGUGCAAUUUGAGAAUCACAACUUAAAUAUCUAAAAGCACCACUCAUGCGUAAGUCAAACAAAUUUGAAUUGCAGUAAGGAUUCUAAUUCAAGAAACUGUUGUUUAGCAAUAUGUAAAGAUGAUCCAGAGAAUUAAACAAAAACAAAUACCAUAACAAUCUUAAUUUGAGCAUAGUAGGCUCUGAUACCAAUUGUAAGAAACAAUUAUUUCUGACCAUGUAAAUACUUGAACGGAUAGCAACUCAGACAAUCAAAUCUGCAACAAUAUUUAUCAGAAUCUGUUGUGCAAGUUAUGCAGAUAUAAAUGAGUAUAUGAAUCAUGAUGAAUUCUAAACUCAUCAUCAUACUAGAUAAUUAAGAAAGCUAUGCCAAAUAUAAGAUUGUAAUUCAAGAACAAUACGAAUCAAGACCAAAAUAUAAUUAUCUGCAAUGUAUCA
This is a long non-coding RNA of Rosa chinensis, 2845 nucleotides long. RefSeq lists it as uncharacterized. Lineage: Eukaryota; Viridiplantae; Streptophyta; Magnoliopsida; Rosales; Rosaceae. The transcript is spliced from 3 exons. The record is from RefSeq and is a predicted model, not a curated record.